GACGAACCGUCCAAACGUUAUUCGGAAUCACUGGGCUUACAGAGUUCGUAGGCGGUCUGGAAAGUUGGGUGUGAAAUCCCUCGGCUCAACCGAGGAACUGCGCUUGAAACUACCAGACUCGAGGGAGAUAGAGGAAAGCGGAACUGAUGGUGGAGCGGUGAAAUGCGUUGAUAUCAUCAGGAACACCGGUGGCGAAGGCGGCUUCUGGGUCUUACCUGACGCUGAGGAACGAAAGCUAGGGGAGCGAACGGGG
This 253-nucleotide ribosomal RNA is filed under the name uncultured bacterium. RNAcentral describes it as "partial 16S ribosomal RNA". It matches the Rfam family "Bacterial small subunit ribosomal RNA", at positions 524 to 777 of the family's 1533-position model. The record is from RNAcentral.